AGUGGACGCUGGCGGUAGGCCUAACACAUGCAAGUCGAACGGCAGCACAGUAAGAGCUUGCUCUUACGGGUGGCGAGUGGCGGACGGGUGAGGAAUACAUCGGAAUCUACUUUUUCGUGGGGGAUAACGUAGGGAAACUUACGCUCAUACCGCAUACGACCUACGGGUGAAAGCAGGGGAUCUUCGGACCUUGCGCGAUUGAAUGAGCCGAUGUCGGAUUAGCUAGUUGGCGGGGUAAAGGCCCACCAAGGCGACGAUCCGUAGCUGGUCUGAGAGGAUGAUCAGCCACACGGGAACUGAGACACGGUCCAGACUCCUACGGGAGGCAGCAGUGGGGAAUAGUGGACAAUGGGCGCAAGCCUGAUCCAGCCAUACCGCGUGGGUGAAGAAGGCCUUCGGUUUGUAAAGCCCUUUUGUUGGGAAAGAAAAGCAGCAGGUUAAUACCCCGCUGUUCUGACGGUACCCAAAGAAUAAGCACCGGCUAACUUCGUG
RNAcentral lists this ribosomal RNA (492 nucleotides) under uncultured bacterium. RNAcentral describes it as "partial 16S ribosomal RNA". It matches the Rfam family "Bacterial small subunit ribosomal RNA", at positions 29 to 507 of the family's 1533-position model. The record is from RNAcentral.